GACGAACGCUGGCGGCGUGCUUAACACAUGCAAGUCGAACGGUGAAGCGCCUUCCUUUUUGGUGGGUGUGGAUGAGUGGCGAACGGGUGAGUAACACGUGAGUAACCUGCCCCCUUCUUCUGGAUAACCGCAAGAAAGUGUGGCUAAUACGGGAUAUUCUGGGUCUGUCGCAUGAUGGGUCUGGGAAAGAUAUUGUUUCGGUGGGGGAUGGGCUCGCGGCCUAUCAGCUUGUUGGUGGGGUGAUGGCCUACCAAGGCGGUGACGGGUAGCCGGCCUGAGAGGGUGGACGGUCACACUGGGACUGAGACACGGCCCAGACUCCGACGGGAGGCAGCAGUGGAGAAUAUUGCACAGUGGGCGCAAGCCUGAUGCAGCGACGCCGCGUGAGGGAUGGAGGCCUUCGGGUUGUGAACCUCUUUCGCCAGUGAAGCAGGCCUGCCUCGUUUGUGGGUGGGUUGACGGUAGCUGGAUAAGAAGCGCCGGCUAACUACGUG
This 494-nucleotide ribosomal RNA is filed under the name uncultured bacterium. RNAcentral describes it as "partial 16S ribosomal RNA". It matches the Rfam family "Bacterial small subunit ribosomal RNA", at positions 28 to 507 of the family's 1533-position model. The record is from RNAcentral.